GAGUGUGCCAGGGUCAAGUCUGUACUGAUUUUCAUGGUGAAUAGAUUACAUGCUUGCAUUCAUGUUCACUUCCGAAGCGCUUAUUGUUUUGAUUCG
This is a non-coding RNA of Phalacrocorax carbo (great cormorant), 96 nucleotides long. The record is from Rfam. NCBI's taxonomy places the organism in Eukaryota, Metazoa, Chordata, Aves, Suliformes, Phalacrocoracidae.